GGGAGGAGGAGAAGGAGCACGCGCUCAGGACUCAUAGGGCACCAGACAGUGAGCUGAGUUCACCUAUCUAUAUUUACGACUACGCUUCAGCAUCUUACCAUCCAAUGAGAGAAAAAAAGCUUUGAAUCCUAUGGAGAAGUCCCCUGUCAUGCCAAGAUUUCUGUGAUUGAAGGUGUACUCUGUGGACCAAUGGGAUUUUCAAUACCUGAC
Molecule: long non-coding RNA, 210 nt
Filed under: Fukomys damarensis (Damara mole-rat)
Lineage: Eukaryota; Metazoa; Chordata; Mammalia; Rodentia; Bathyergidae
Description: lncRNA (ENSFDAG00000022184.1)
Source: RNAcentral